AAUGGGCGCAAGCCUGAUCCAGCAAUACCGCGUGUGUGAAGAAGGCCUGAGGGUUGUAAAGCACUUUUAAUAGGGAGGAACAUCUGCCGGCCAAUACCCGGUAGUCUGACAUUACCUAUAGAAAAAGCACCGGCUAACUCCGUGCCAGCAGCCGCGGUAAUACGGAGGGUGCAAGCGUUAUCCGGAAUCACUGGGUUUAAAGGGUGCGUAGGCGGCUUAGUAAGUCAGUGGUGAAAGGCUGUGGCUUAACCAUGGAAUUGCCAUUGAUACUGCAGAGCUUGAAUGAGGUUGAGGUUGGCGGAAUGUGACAUGUAGCGGUGAAAUGCUUAGAUAUGUCAUGGAACACCGAUUGCGAAGGCAGCUGACUGGACCUAUAUUGACGCUGAGGCACGAAAGCGUGGGGAGCGAA
Molecule: ribosomal RNA, 409 nt
Filed under: uncultured bacterium
Lineage: Bacteria
Description: bacterial SSU rRNA
Rfam family: Bacterial small subunit ribosomal RNA
Source: RNAcentral